GCCGAGGUAGCUCAGUUGGCAGAGCGAGGCUUUCGUAAAGCUUAGGUCGUGGGUUCGACUCCCACCCUCGGCU
RNAcentral lists this transfer RNA (73 nucleotides) under Candidatus Woesebacteria bacterium RBG_16_40_11. RNAcentral describes it as "tRNA-Thr". It matches the Rfam family "tRNA". From Rfam's summary of the family: Transfer RNA (tRNA) molecules are approximately 80 nucleotides in length. Lineage: Bacteria; Candidatus Woeseibacteriota. The record is from RNAcentral. RNAcentral also lists the same sequence under 3 other names.